This 362-nucleotide unclassified non-coding RNA is filed under the name uncultured Phialophora. Its description in RNAcentral is "sequence contains ITS2". The stretch from base 1 to 154 matches the Rfam family "5.8S ribosomal RNA". The record is from RNAcentral. Lineage: Eukaryota; Fungi; Ascomycota; Leotiomycetes.
AACUUUCGACAACGGAUCUCUUGGUUCUGGCAUCGAUGAAGAACGCAGCGAAAUGCGAUAAGUAAUGUGAAUUGCAGAAUUCAGUGAAUCAUCGAAACUUUGAACGCACAUUGCGCCCGCUGGUAUUCCGGCGGGCAUGCCUGUUCGAGCGUCAUUAUGACCAAUCAAGCUCUGCUUGGCCUUGGGGCCCGCUGUACCGGCGGCCCUUAAAACUAGUGGCGGUGCCGUCUGGCUCUAAUCUUAGUAAUACUUCUCGCUAUAGUGUCUAGGCGUCCACCCGCCAGAACCUCCAACUUUCUUAGGUUGACCUCGGAUCAGGUAGGGAUACCCGCUGAACUUAAGCAUAUCAAUAAGCGGAGGCU